UACAGAGGGGGCAAGCGUUGUUCGGAAUUACUGGGCGUAAAGGGCGCGUAGGCGGCCUUCUAAGUCGAACGUGAAAUCCCCGGGCUCAACCCGGGAACUGCGUCCGAUACUGGAAGGCUUGAAUCCGGAAGAGGGAUGCGGAAUUCCAGGUGUAGCGGUGAAAUGCGUAGAUAUCUGGAGGAACACCGGUGGCGAAGGCGGCAUCCUGGACCGGCAUUGACGCUGAGGCGCGAAAGCCAGGGGAGCAAACGGG
RNAcentral lists this ribosomal RNA (253 nucleotides) under uncultured bacterium. RNAcentral describes it as "partial 16S ribosomal RNA". It matches the Rfam family "Bacterial small subunit ribosomal RNA", at positions 524 to 776 of the family's 1533-position model. The record is from RNAcentral.